ACCAGACUCCUACGGGAGGCAGCAGUGGGGGAUAUUGCACAAUGGGGGAAACCCUGAUGCAGCGAUGCCGCGUGAGUGAAGACGGCCUUCGGGUUGUAAAGCUCUGUCGCAGAGGACGAAAAUGACGGUACUCUGCAAGAAAGCUCCGGCUAACUACGUGCCAGCAGCCGCGGUAAUACGUAGGGAGCAAGCGUUGUCCGGAACUACUGGGUGUAAAGGGAGCGUAGGCGGGAGGAUAAGUUGAAUGUGAAAUCUAUGGGCUCAACCCAUAGCUGCGUUCAAAACUGUUCUUCUUGAGUGAAGUAGAGGCAGGCGGAAUUCCUAGUGUAGCGGUGAAAUGCGUAGAUAUUAGGAGGAACACCAGUGGCGAAGGCGGCCUGCUGGGACGCAACUGACGCUCAUACACGAAAGCGUGGGGAGCAAACAGGAUUAGAUACCCUAGUA
Molecule: ribosomal RNA, 444 nt
Filed under: uncultured bacterium
Lineage: Bacteria
Description: bacterial SSU rRNA
Rfam family: Bacterial small subunit ribosomal RNA
Source: RNAcentral